RNAcentral lists this ribosomal RNA (329 nucleotides) under uncultured eukaryote. RNAcentral describes it as "partial 18S ribosomal RNA". It matches the Rfam family "Eukaryotic small subunit ribosomal RNA", at positions 1470 to 1796 of the family's 1831-position model. The record is from RNAcentral.
CCCUUAGAUGUCCUGGGCUGCACGCGCGCUACACUGACGAACUCAACGAGCUUAUCACCUUGGCAGAGAUGUCUGGGUAAUCUUUUGAAAGUUCGUCGUGCUGGGGAUAGAUGAUUGUAAUUAUUCGUCUUGAACGAGGAAUUCCUAGUAAGUGUGAGUCAUCAGCUCGCGCUGAUUACGUCCCUGCCCUUUGUACACACCGCCCGUCGCUCCUACCGAUUGAAUGGUCCGGUGAGGUUCUCGGAUUUUUUCCGUUGUUUGGUUCGCUAAACGAUUGAAGAGAGAAGUUACCCAAACCUUACCAUUUAGAGGAAGGAGAAGUCGUAACA